CGGCUUUGGAGACUUGCUAUAAAAGAUGCCCUUUUGGAGAAGUGCGGUGGCUGCUAAAUGUGGAAUCCUCAAGACCCAAAAGUAUAGGUAUAUACGAGUGUGCUGACCCGUUAGCACACAUCAUGAGUACAUCAUGGGUACAUCACCCAAAAGUAUAGGCAUAUACGAGGGCGACAUAGGACCAAAGAACCACAUUUAAUAUUCAAGACUAUAUGUACAUCAACUCCACCUUAUAGACACUUUUGUUGAGAUAAUCAAA
This is a long non-coding RNA of Cucurbita maxima (winter squash), 259 nucleotides long. RefSeq lists it as uncharacterized. The record is from RefSeq and is a predicted model, not a curated record. The transcript is spliced from 2 exons. NCBI's taxonomy places the organism in Eukaryota, Viridiplantae, Streptophyta, Magnoliopsida, Cucurbitales, Cucurbitaceae.